Molecule: ribosomal RNA, 253 nt
Filed under: uncultured bacterium
Lineage: Bacteria
Description: partial 16S ribosomal RNA
Rfam family: Bacterial small subunit ribosomal RNA
Source: RNAcentral
UACGGGGGGGGCAAGCGUUGUUCGGAAUUACUGGGCGUAAAGGGCUCGUAGGCGGCCAACUAAGUCAGACGUGAAAUCCCCAGGCUCAACCUGGGAACUGCGUCUGAUACUGGAUGGCUUGAAUUCGGGAGAGGGAUGCAGAAUUCCAGGUGUAGCGGUGAAAUGCGUAGAUAUCGUAAGGAAGACCAGUGGCGAAGGCGAGUCUCUGGACAGUUACUGACGCUGAGGCACGAAGGCCAGGGGAGCAAACGGG